This 455-nucleotide ribosomal RNA is filed under the name uncultured Termite group 1 bacterium. Its description in RNAcentral is "bacterial SSU rRNA". It matches the Rfam family "Bacterial small subunit ribosomal RNA", at positions 29 to 495 of the family's 1533-position model. Lineage: Bacteria; Pseudomonadati; Elusimicrobiota. The record is from RNAcentral.
AGUGAACGCUAGCGGUGUGCCUAACACAUGCAAGUUGUGCGGGAUUCUGCAGAGUAUCGCAGAGUUUAGCGGCAAACGGGUGAGUAACACGUAGGAAACCUCCCUCAGAAUGGGGAAUAUUUCCGAGAAAUCGGAGCCAAUACCGCAUAAGACCACAGUUUGGCAUCAAAUAGUGGUUAAAGCAGCAAUGCGUUUUGAGAUGGUCCUGCGUCCUAUCAGCUAGUUGGCAGGGUAACGGCCCGCCAAGGCUAUGACGGGUAUCCGUCCUUAAAGGGUGAACGGACACACUGGAACUGAGACACGGUCCAGACUCCUAUGGGAGGCAGCAGUGGGGAAUUUUGGACAAUGGGGGAAACCCUGAUCCAGCGACACCGCGUGGAGGAUGAAGGCCUUCGGGUUGUAAACUCCUUUUAGAGGGGAAGAAAUAAAUGACAUUACCCUCAGAAAAAGCCACG